UCACUUACCUGGACGGGGUCAAUGCAAGAUCAACAAGGUCCAUGGCCUAGGUUGGUGACCUUCAUUGCACCUCGGAGGGAUGCCCGCCUAAGGUCGGCCCAAGCGGUCGAGCCUACGUCAUAAUUUGUGGCAGUGGGGGCUUGCGUUCGCGCAGCCCCUGC
RNAcentral lists this small nuclear RNA (161 nucleotides) under Helianthus annuus (common sunflower). RNAcentral's name for it is "sRNA HanXRQr2_Chr08g0321191". It matches the Rfam family "U1 spliceosomal RNA". Rfam says of the family: U1 is a small nuclear RNA (snRNA) component of the spliceosome (involved in pre-mRNA splicing). Lineage: Eukaryota; Viridiplantae; Streptophyta; Magnoliopsida; Asterales; Asteraceae. The record is from Rfam by way of RNAcentral.